CAAGCAUCAGACUGUGCAUGGAGUGCAAGCUGGUGCAGUGGGAGUCCCAAGGACAGGAGGUGGACAGGACAAGGGCUUCAGCGGACCACCUGCACAACACCACGGUGCUCAAGGGCUAUCAGUGAAGGAAAAGGGAAGAAAGGAACAAAUGGCCUGUGGCGGGGUAAAAAACAACUCCAGCUCUUCCUACCAGGCCAACUUUUGUGACUGGCUCCCAGGCUGCCUUGCCUCUGGGGUUCAAGGGAGGCUUGUCUUCUGAGAGUCGGUAGGAUUAGACAAAAACUCCAGCUCUGUUCCAAGGGUCUAUCAAUAUCCUCAUAGCUGGGUAUGUUAAGUGCUGGUAUAUUUACCCUGUUUAAUCAUGGUUCCAUCCCUCUGAGGAAAAAACCUAGUAAUUGGGCUCAACACCUCAGUGCAGCAUUUCCUGUCAUCUCUGGGACAGCAGAGUGGAGGUGACCUCCCUUCCCACUCAUUGGAGAGAACAUUAAUUGCUAGAGGAGCCAGAAAUACCCUAAUGCCCAUGGGUGACCAGGGUCCCUUCUGGGCCAUGUGGUGUGGAGAAUGAGUUUGACCACCCC
This 578-nucleotide long non-coding RNA is filed under the name Homo sapiens (human). RNAcentral describes it as "HSALNT0010946". Lineage: Eukaryota; Metazoa; Chordata; Mammalia; Primates; Hominidae. The record is from RNAcentral.